This 418-nucleotide unclassified non-coding RNA is filed under the name soil metagenome. RNAcentral describes it as "partial contains 5.8S ribosomal RNA, internal transcribed spacer 2, and large subunit ribosomal RNA". The stretch from base 1 to 120 matches the Rfam family "5.8S ribosomal RNA", at positions 35 to 154 of the family's 154-position model. The record is from RNAcentral.
GAUGAAGAACGCAGUGAAAUGCGAUACGUAAUGUGAAUUGCAGAAUUCAGUGAAUCAUCGAAUCUUUGAACGCACAUUGCGCUCUCUGGUAUUCCGGAGAGCAUGCUUGUUUGAGUAUCAGUAAACACCUCAACUCCUUUAUUGUAGUUGGACUUGAGCUAUCCCAACAGGACUUUUUGUUCCUGGCGGGAGGCUUGAAAUGCAGGUGCAGCUGGACUUUCUUCUGAGCUAUAAGCAUAUUUAUUUAAUCCCUUAACACGGAUUAUUACUUUUUUGCUGCAGCUAACAUAAAGGUUGAAUUUCCAUUGAGCUGACUGAAGCAGGAAUUUGGCAAGGAAUUUUUUUAAUGACUUGUUAAACUCGAUCUCAAAUCAAGUAAGACUACCCGCUGAACUUAAGCAUAUCAAUAAGCGGAGGA